GAUGAACGCUGGCGGCGUGCCUAAUACAUGCAAGUCGAGCGAACAGACGAGGAGCUUGCUCCUUUGACGUUAGCGGCGGACGGGUGAGUAACACGUAGGUAACCUACCUAUAAGACUGGGAUAACUUCGGGAAACCGGAGCUAAUACCGGAUAAUAUUUCGAACCGCAUGGUUCGAUAGUGAAAGAUGGCUUUGCUAUCACUUAUAGAUGGACCUGCGCCGUAUUAGCUAGUUGGUAAGGUAACGGCUUACCAAGGGAACGAUACGUAGCCGACGUGAGAGGGUGAUCGCCCACACUGGAACUGGACCACGGUCCAGACUCCUACGGGAGGCAGCAGUAGUGAAUCUUCCGCAAUGGGCGAAAGCCUGACGGAAGAGCGCCGCGUGAGUGAUGAAAGUCUUCGGAUCGUAAAACUCUGUUAUUAGGGAAGAACAAAAGUGUAAGUAACUGUGCACGUCUUGACGGUACCUAAUCAGAAAGCCACGGCUAACUACGUG
Molecule: ribosomal RNA, 497 nt
Filed under: uncultured bacterium
Lineage: Bacteria
Description: partial 16S ribosomal RNA
Rfam family: Bacterial small subunit ribosomal RNA
Source: RNAcentral